GAAAACGACUGCUAAGACUGGAUAGGAAAUAAAAAGGCAUCUUUUUAUUUUUAAAAGACCUAGCAAUAGGUAUGCUUAGGGAAGAGCUUGCGUCACAUUAGUUAGUUGGUGGGGUAAUGGCCUACCAAGACGAUGAUGUGUAGCCGGGCUGAGAGGUCGAACGGCCACAUUGGGACUGAGACACGGCCCAAACUCCUACGGGAGGCAGCAGUAAGGAAUUUUCGGCAAUGGAGGAAACUCUGACCGAGCAAUGCCGCGUGAACGAUGAAGUAUUUCGGUACGUAAAGUUCUUUUAUUAGGGAAGAAAAGAUGGUGGAAAAACCAUUAUGACGGUACCUAAUGAAUAAGCCCCGGCUAACUAUGUGCCAGCAGCCGCGGUAAUACAUAGGGGGCAAGCGUUAUCCGGAAUUAUUGGGCGUAAAGGGUGCGUAGGCGGUUAAAUAAGUUUAUGGUCUAAGUGCAACGCUCAACGUUGUGAUGCUAUAAAAACUGUUUAGCUAGAGUUGGAUAGAGGCAAGUGGAAUUCCGUGUGUAGUGGUAAAAUGCGUAAAUAUACGGAGGAACACCAGAAGCGAAGGCGGCUUGCUGGGUCUUAACUGACGCUGAGGCACGAAAGCGUGGGGAGCAAACAGGAUUAGAUACCCUGGUAGUCCACGCCCUAAACGAUGAGUACUAAACGUUGGAUAAAACCAGUGUUGAAGUUAACACAUUAAGUACUCCGCCUGAGUAGUACGUACGCAAGUAUGAAACUUAAAGGAAUUGACGGGACUCCGCACAAGCGGUGGAUCAUGUUGUUUAAUUCGAAGGUACCCGAAAAACCUCACCAGGUCUUGACAUGCUUUUGCAAAGCUGUAGAAAUACAGUGGAGGUUAUCAGAAGCACAGGUGGUGCAUGGUUGUCGUCAGCUCGUGUCGUGAGAUGUUGGGUUAAGUCCCGCAACGAGCGCAACCCUUGUUGUUAAUUGCCAUCAUUAAGUUGGGGACUUUAGCAAGACUGCCAAUGAUAAAUUGGAGGAAGGGGGGGACGACGUCAAAUCAUCAUGCCCCUUAUGACCUGGGCUACAAACGUGAUACAAUGGCUGUUACAAAGGGUAGCUAAAGCGUAAGCUUCGGGCGAAUCUCAAAAAAGCAGUCUCAGUUCGGAUUGAAGUCUGCAACUCGACUUCAUGAAGUUGGAAUCGCUAGUAAUCGCGAAUCAGCAUGUCGCGGUGAAUACGUUCUCGGGGUUUGUACACACCGCCCGUCA
Molecule: ribosomal RNA, 1245 nt
Filed under: Candidatus Phytoplasma solani
Lineage: Bacteria; Bacillati; Mycoplasmatota; Mollicutes; Acholeplasmatales; Acholeplasmataceae
Description: bacterial SSU rRNA
Rfam family: Bacterial small subunit ribosomal RNA
Source: RNAcentral